UCGAACGUGCCAAGAGUCACCCCAAAGCCAUCAAAUCACUAUAUAAGAUAAUCAUAUACAUACCUAUUGGUGAUCUCUAAGAUCUGAUUCUUGUAUAUAUAUACUAUAUUAAUCCCAACAAGCUUUAUCAAGCCAUAAAUAUACUACCAAGAUAUAACCACAAGAUGUACCACAUAACUCUUGUACUCAUUGCAAUAUCUUUCGACCACAAAAGCUGCUAAUUACUAAAUCCGACACCGAUAAUAUACCUCAUAUCAAUUAAAACCUCGUUUCAAACAUUUUCUAAGAGUGCUAUCAAUGAAAGAAACAUAUAGAAACUCAUAAUCAACUAUCAUAUCAAAAAGUCAUGGUGUUCUCUUGUCCGACAAGAACUAUUGCCAAAUUCCUCACUGACUAAUGGCAGUCUUCUUCUUCCAAACAUACCUUAUACAAAUCCCAUUGCACUAAUUUCGGCAACAAUAACCUCGUCUCACCCGGUACAAUUUUCUCGACUGACAGGUCACAUCAAAUGCCAUCUAGAACUGCGUACGACGCAAUAUGUGAGCCAAACAAGGAACAACUCGAAUAUGACCAACAAUGUAAAGAGAAUCAAAUAAGAGAACUGUCCAACAAGUUCAAUAAAAAUAACAACAAAAUAAUCAUGUCGUGAACCAAUCCCACAAGGGAGAAAAAAGACACACAAAAUAAGCAUAGACUGUGUCAAAUCAUAAUCCCGAUGCAGUGCAUAACCCGAUCUAACAUAUCAAUCCACAUAGAAUACUCAUUGAGCCAUAAUGCUCAAAAUCAACAAACACAUGUGUACCAAAAACAAACACGUAAAGUGCAUCAACACAACCAUGGGGAGACGGAUAGCAUAAUAUACUACAAACAGGCAAAGCAUAACUAAGGUGCAAUAAGCAAUUCAAUAUCUCAAGAGCCAUUUCGCUCAAAUAUCACCACAAGGCAUAAACAUGACCACAUCAUGCGUGUGAAUAAUCAAGUCAUCUCAUAACUCAUUAUAGCAUAAUAGAAUAACACAUGAAAUACAUUAGGGUGUGAAUAAGAUUAUCUCCACCUGAUGACACACCAUAGAAAAAUGUUGAUAUGUACAUAAACCCAAUCCAGUGUAAAAUAUACAUGCUCAUUAGGCCUACCAAUGGGACUCCAAACCAAUUUGAAUCAUUCCAAAAUAUAUAAAUAGCCUCCCCAAAAGUCUACAAUGACCAUGUCCAUGACACAAUCAAUCAGUUGUGAAUCCUGAGCACACUUCCACAGUCUGUAAUCAAAGGUAUAGUCUGUCUCUACUAAAUAUAAUCUCCAAACUACGAUAGUACAAGAAUAUUUAUACCUAAUCUCUAAGUCUCCUACUUAAAAUAUUUAUACGUCACGCAUACACAAUCACCCCAUAGAGAUAGUCCCAUAACCUUUCGCACCAAAUAGGAAAACUUGAACAUCAACAACUACCGACCAACUCAUUUCUAUAGUACAAGUAGAGCAGCUAUAAGUCAAUACACAAUGCGUAUUGUGCAACACACACUCUCCUCAGGUGAUACAAGAUAUUGCUAGCAUUUCUUUUAAUAUCUGAAAUCUCUCGUGCUAUCUAGAACUCAUGAUAUUCCUUUCAAAACUAAACAGCAACCUCGUCCAUUCAAUCCCAAUUCCACAUACACUACUAAAGAAAGCUGAAAUUAGCUACGAACGUCGUCGCUAAUCUGUCGCUAAAUCGCCCGUAGCUAGUAGAAUUUCUUAAUAAUCUGUCACUAAUCUGCCACUAAAUGAGAUUAGAGAUGGAUUUCUCUAUUUAGCUACAAGAUUUGUUCGUCACUAAAAUUAGAUUUUUUAGUAGUGACAGUUUACUAUGUCUAUCAUGCUAUUAUGCAAAAAUACGAGAAUCUUGUUAUCAACUCUAAAUUACGAAUAUGAUACAAACUUCAUCGACCAAAAACCUUCCACUUGACUCAAUUCAGGAGAGAAUCACAAUAUGCAACAAACUUGCCUAUAGAAGACACCAACUACAGGUCGUGGUCAAAAUUGUCACAAACUCUUAGAAUCCGUUUUUACAUAACCAAGCCAUCAAAAUUAAAUCUUACUAGAUAAACCAAGUCAUGCAGACUACCAAACCCAAAAGUGUUGACAUAAAAUACCUGCAUAGCCUUAUCAUACCAAAGGAACUAAUUAUUUUUAUUACCAUGAUGAUCUAAGCCACUAUUAAGUUGACCCAACUUCUUCAAAUUUCCUCUUGACUUUCCUUCAAUAUAGCACUUCUCUUUCCUAGCACACUAUAGAUCUUAAUCAAGACUGAUUCCAGGUGUGACGACCCGGCCGGUUGUCUUAAGAAUUAAUACCGCGAUCCCCCUAUUAACUGCUUUUCCCGUAUUUAUUUCUACUAUUUUGAUUUGUCGGGAUGUUUGGUUUUGAGUUUCGGAGAGUUUUUGGACACUUAGUCCCUAAAUGAGAGCUUAAGUGUUGGAAAUUUGACCAUAGUCGGAAUAAUGUGAAGACGUGCUCGGAAUGGAAAUCUGAUGGUUCUAUUAGCUCCGUUGGGUGAUUUUCGGGUGAGGAGCGUGUUAGGAUUGUGUUUUGGAGGUCUGUAGCUAAUUUAGGCUUGAAAUGCCAAAAGUCAAAAUUUUAAAGUUUCCGGUUCGAUAGUGAGAUUUUGAUCUGAGGGUCGGAAUGGAAUUCCAGAAGUUGGAGAAACUCUAUAGUGUUGAAUGUGACGUGUGUGCAAACUUUCAGGUCAUCAGACGAGGUUUGAUAGACUUUUUAAUCGAGAGCGUAUUUUUUUAGAGUUUUGGAAUUUUUAGGCUUGAAUCUGUGGUUUAUUCGUCGUUUCAAUGUUGCUUUAGGUGUUUUAAGGAUUGGUAUAAGUUUAGACGGUGGUAUUAUACUUGUUGGUGCCUUUGGUUGAGGUUCCGGGGGCCUCGGGAUGAUUUCGGAUGGUUGACAGAAGGAUUUUGGAGUUUGGAAUUGUAGCUUUAGCUGGUUUUCUGUCAUCACCGCACCUACAAGUGUAGGAUCGCAGGUGCGGAGCCACAUAAGCGGCAUUUGGCAUCGCAAAAGUGGAAAUUGGGAGGUUCAGUAGGAGCUGCAGAAGCGGUAGAAUUUUUGCAGGAGCAGUACCACAUCUACGGAUGGGGAGUGGCAGAUGCAGAGUUAGGCUGAGUUAGUGAUUGUCACAGAUGCGACCAUUGGUCCUCAAAAGCGGGAUCACAGAUGCGGUCCCACGGCCGCAUAUGCAAAAAUUGCUGGGUAGAAAUAUAUAAAUACUUGCCUUCGAGAAAUUUAGUUAUUUUUCACCAUAUUUCAAACGGAGAGAAGCUUGGGAAGCAUUUUGCAAGAGGGAUUUUUAAAGGAGUUCAUUGGGGUAAGGUAUUUGGUNNNNNNNNNNNNNNNNNNNNNNNNNGAACUCGUGAGAGUGUGAGGAUUUUGGAAAUGUAAAUUUUACCAGAUUCCGAGACGUGGGCUCAAGGGGUGUUUUAGUCAUUUUAGCUAAUUUCACGUAUUAGCUUAGAAUUUAAUUAUAGAAUCAGUUACUUGAAGUGUUAUUUACAUUAUGAAAUUGAAUUGAAUAGAUUUGGGCCAUUUGGAGUCGAGUACUCGUGGCAAGAGCGUGGUUUCGGAUUGAUUGAGUUGGUUCGAGGUAAGUGGCUUGCCUAACCUUGUGUGGGGGACUUUCCCUUUAGAAUUUGGUAUUACUAUUAAUUGAAAUGUCUUGUACGUGAGGUGACGAGUGCGUACUUGUGCUAAUUGUUGAAAAUCCGAUUUUUCAUUAAGUAAUUACUAGUAUGUUUCUUUUUCUGUUUUUAUUACUUGCACUAUUAAGCUUGUGGUUAGCUUAGGAAAGCAUGUUUAAGUAAUUUAAUUGCUCAAACUGCCUUAUUUGAAUUCUAUGUAGCAUGUUAGGCUAGAACUACUUGUUUGCCCUAAUAUGAAAUUUGACAUUUCUGAAUAUUUUCCUGUUGUUGCUGUGUAUUUACAUUGGGACUAUAGAUGUGGGAUUCCAGUAGCUCCCCCCCCCCCCUUAUCUGUUUACAUUUGGGACUAUGGAUGUGGGAUUCCGGUAGAUCGCCCUGUACAGUUAUAUGGAACUACGGAAAUGCACCUGGUAGAUUCCCCCAGUACUGGGUAUUUACAUUUGGGACUACGGAACGGGAUUUCGGUAGAUCCCCGUGCACUAUGAGUUGGACUACGGGACGGGAUCCCGAGAGAUUCAUUGGAUAUGUAUAUUUGGGACUAUAGGACGGUAUCCUUGGAGAUCCCCGAUUGUUAUUUUUGGUAGUGAGUCGUAUUUCUCUCUGUGUACUUUGCCUCUGUAGUAGUUGUUGCUUUCCUUUAUCCUUUAUAUCUUGUGUUGCUUUUACUGUUGUACUUAUUUAUACUAUUUUGUUAUACACUGUCGAACCUUAUAUUUUUAUUUAACCUCAGUAGGGCCCUGACCUUCCUCGCUACUAUCCCACCGAAGUUAGGCUUGGCACUUACUGAGUACCACUGUGGUGUACUUAUGCCCUUUCUGUGCAUGUUUUUCAUGUGCAGAUCCAGGUACUUUGACUCAGACUUACCAUCCUUAAGGCGAGGCGACCCUUCUGAGACUUAGAGGUAUAUCUGCCGCGUCCUCAGAUCGAGGAGUCUCUCUCUAUUCUCCCUUGUAGUUACAACCCUUAUGUAUUUACUUCGUUUUAGACUAUUCUGGAGUUAGAGCACUAUAUAGUAUCCUUAGCUUGUGAUUCAUGGGUUUCCGAAUUUUGGGAAUAUGUACUAGCCUUUGAGAGUUAAAUAUUAUGUAUGCCGAGCGGCAUUUUUAAACGUUGUUUUAUUACUCUAUUUCUAUUUUAAAUUGUUUUCUUCUGCGAAUUUGUAUAUCUUCCACAUUUUAGGCUUACCUAGACAUAGAGACUAGGUGUCAUCACGAUGGUUCACGGAGGGCAAACCGGGGUCGUGACAAGUUGGUAUCAGAGCUCUAGGUUCAUAGGAGUCAUGAAUCACAAGCCGGUUUAUUAGAGUCACAUUUAUCGGUAUGGAGAUGUUUGUACUUAUCUACGAGAGGCUAUGUAACUGUUAGGAAAACUUCCAUUUUAUUUGAUUUUCUUGCCGUGCGAUAUUUUGGACAUCACAAUUCUAAAUCUCUGUCUUCUAUUCUCUCACAGAUGGUGAGGACACGCACUACACGAGAUGAUCAAGCGCCCGCACCCCUUACUACAGCCGUUAGAGAUCGGGGCCGGGUAGAGGCCGAGGACGCGCACGUGGUGCAGCCAGAGCACCUGCGCGAGCUGCCACCGAGGAACCACCAGCAGUUCCAGCCGGAGUUUAGGCACCUGAUAUGCCUACUGCUACUACUACUCCAGUACUUCAGGAGACUCUGGCACAGUUCACGAGUAUGUACACCACUUUGGCUCAGGCAGGGUUGCUUUCCCUUGCUGCAGCUACAUCUUAGGCCGGGGGAGGAGCAGAGACUCCCGCUGCCCAGACUCCUGAGUAGCGAGUGCAUGUUGAGCAGGUCCCUGAGAUUAUUCUUGUACAGCCUGCAGUCCGAGAUCAGCCCGAGGACAGGGCAGCAGCUUCCAAGGAUGAGCAGUUGAGGCUUGAGAGGUUCUAGAAGUAUAAGCCUCCUAUAUUCAGUGGUCUAGCAUUGGUUGAUGCUCUGGGAUUUCUAGAUGAGUGCUACCGCAUUCUCUGUACCAUGGGUAUAUCAAGAUAGAGCGGGGUUUCCUUUAGUACUUUCUAGCUUCGAGGAGUCGUCUAUGAGUGGUGGCGCACCUGUGAGUUAGAUAGUCCGGAUGAGGCUGCUUAACUGACUUGGACUCAGUUUUUAGAUCUGUUCCUGAGAGAGUAUGUUCCUUAAAGCCUUAGGGAAGUGUGGCACACAAAGUUUGAGCAUUUGUGCUAGGGUGCUAUGACUGUCUUAGAAUAUGUAGUUUGUUACACUAGUUUGGCUAGGCAUGCACCAGCCUUGGUUUCUACUGUUCGCUAAAGGGUUCGCCAGUUUAUUGAGGGCUUUAUUCCCAACAUCAGAUCUGGCAUGGCUCGUGAGUUGGAGAAGGAUAUUUCUUAUCAUCAGGUGGUGAGAAUUGCUAGGAGGAUUGACGAUAUGCAUGUUAGAUAGAGAGAGAGAGGAGGCCAAGAGGUCACAAGAGUCGGGCCAUUAUUCUGAAACCCCUGCCCCAGCUGCAAGUCAUCAUGGUAGGGGUUAUAUGAGUCGCCCUAUUCAUUUAGCUCUUCCAGUAGCCAGUGGUAUUCCAAUUCCUCCUAGGCCUCCGGAGCCUUAUUAUGCACCUCCGGUAUCUAGUGCGCCUCCUGCGUGGGAUGCUUUCAGAGGUCAGUCCAGCAGACCUGGCCUGAGCCAGUCACAGCCACUACGUCCUCCUAGAGCUUGUUUUUAGUGUGGUAACACACACCAUAUGGUGAUGGAUUUCCCUAAACUUGGGAGGGGUGCACCUCCACAGACUUCUCAGCCACAGCGUGCCCCGCAGAGUUCUCAGGCUAUGGUUACAGCUCCAGUUGCUACCCUACCUGCUCAGCCAGCUAGAGGUGGUGGUUGGGGAGGUAGAGGUCGCCCUAGAGGGGGAGUCAAGGCCCGAUACAAUGCCCUUCCUACCCAUACCGGGGCAGUUGCCUCCGAUUCUUUCAUCACAGGUAUUAUACUGGUUUGUCACAGAGGUACAUCAGUUCUAUUCGAUCCAGUCUCCACUUACUAUUAUGUGUCUUCUUAUUUUGCUCCGUAUUUGGGUGUACCUCGGAAUUCUUUGAGUUACCCUGUUUAUGUUUCUACUCCUGUAGGAGAUCUCUUGUUGUGGACCGCAUUUAUCGGUCGUGUUUGGUUGCUCUUAGUGGUUUUGAGACCAGAACCGAUUUAUCCUGGGCAUGGACUGGUUGUCGCCCCAUUAUGCUAUUCUUGAUUGUCACUCCAAAACCGUGACGCUGGCUAUGCUAGGUGUACCGCAUAUGGAGUGGAGGGGUACUUUAGAUCACAUAACCAGUAGAGUUAUUUCUUUUCUUAAAGCUCAGCAUAUUAUUGAGAAGGGGUGUGACGUGUAUUUAGCUUGUGUGAGGGAUGUCAGUAUUGAUACCCCUUUAGUUGAUUCAGUUCCAGUAGUACGGGAUUUUCCCAAUAUGUUUCCAACUUAUCUUCCAAGCAUGUCGUUUGAUAGAGAUAUUGAUUUUGGCAUUGAUUUGUUUUCAGGCACUCAGCCCAUUUCUAUUCCUCUGUAUCGUAUGGCUCCUCCUGAGUUGAAGGAUUUGAAGGAUUAGUUACAGGAAUUGCCUUAUAAGGGUUUUAUUUGGCCCAAUGAAUCACCUUGGGGUGCUCCUAUCUUGUUUGUGAAGAAAAAGGAUGGUUCUAAGCACAUUUGUAUUGAUUAUCGCCAGUUGAACAAGGUUACAGUGAAGAACCGUUAUCCUUUACCUCGUAUUGAUGAUCUGUUUGACUAGCUUCAGGGUGCACGGGUGUUUUCUAAGAUUGACUUAUGCUCAGGUUACCAUCAGUUGAAGAUUCGAGAACCAGAUAUCCCGAAGAUUGCUUUCAAGACUCGGUAUGGUCAUUACGAGUUCCUUGUUAUGUCAUUUUGGCUGAUCAAUGCCCUAGCAGCUUUUAUGCAUUUGAUGCACAGUGUGUUCCUGCCGUAUCUUGACUCGUUCAUCAUUAUCUUUAUUAAUGCUAUUCUGGUGUAUUGUUGGAGUCGGGAAGAUUAUGAGCGGCAUCUGAGGACUGUGCUUCAGACUAUGAGAGAGAAGAAGUUAUAUUCUAAGUUCUCGAAAUGUGAAUUUUGGUUAGAUUAUGUGGCGUUCUUAGGCCACGUGGCAUCGAGUGAGGGUAUUCAGGUGGAUAUGAAGAAAAUAGGGGUUGUGCAUAGUUGGCCCACACCAUCCUCAACUACAGAGAUCUGCAGUUUCCUUGGCUUGGCGGGUUACUACCGCCGUUUUUUGGAGGGGUUUUCAUCAAUUGCAGCCCCUAUGACCAGGUUGACCCAGAAGGGUGCUCUGUUUCAGUGGAUGGAAGAGUGUGAAGCGAGCUUUCAGAAGCUCAAGACAGCUUUGACUACAACCCUAAUUUUGAUACUGCCUACAGAUUUAAGGUCUUAUACGGUCUAUUGCGAUGCCUCGAGGGUUGGCCUCAGAGCGGUGUUGAUGCAGGACGGUAGGGUGAUUGCCUACGCGUCCAGAUAGUUGAAGGUACAUAAGAAGAAUUAUCCGGUCCACGACCUUGAGUUAGCUGCCAUUGUUCAUGCCCUGAAGAUCUGGCGUCAUUAUUUGUAUGGUGUUCCCUAUGAGAUUUAUACUAACCAUCGGGGCUUGCAGUACUUGUUCAAGCAAAAGGAUCUAAAUCUGCACCACAAGAGGUGGUUAGAGUUGCUGAAGGACUAUAAUAUCACUAUUUUGUAUCAUACGGUCAAGGCCAAUAUGGGGGUCGAUGCCUUGAGUCGUCGGGCAGAGAGUUUGGGGAGUUAGGCUUAUUUACCAGCAUCGGAAAGGCCUAUGGCGAUGGAUGUUCAUGCCUUAGCCAGCCUGUUUGUGAGAUUGGACCUUUCGGAGCUCAGUCGGGUUCUAGCUUGCGUGGUUUCUCGAUCUUCCUUAUUUGAUCGUAUCAGGGAGCAUCAGUAUGAUAACCCUCAUUUGCUUGUCCUCAAGGACAAGGUUCAGCAAUGUGAUGCCAGAAAUAUGACUAUUAGUGAUGAUGGUGUAUUGAGGAUGUAGGGUCGAAUUUGUGUACACAAUGUUGAUGGGCUUCGGGAGUUCAUUCUGGAGGAGGCCCAUAAUUUGCAAUAUUCCAUUCAUCCGGGUGCCGCGAAGAUGUAUUAGGAUUUGAGACAGCACUACUGGUGGAGGCAGAUUAAGAAAGAUAUAGUUGGAUUUGUAGCUCGAUACCUCAACUGUCAGUAGGUGAAGUAUGAGCACCAGAGGUCGGGUGGGUUGUUUUAGUAGAUAGAGAUUCCAGAGUGGAAGUGGGAAUGGAUCACCAUGGACUUUGUAGUUGGGCUCCCACGGACUUUGAGAAAAUUCGACGCUAUUUGGGUGAUUGUGGAUCGGCUGACCAAGUCCGCGCACUUCAUUCCUGUGUGUACUACCUAUUCUUCGGAGCGCCUAGCGGAGAUUUAUAUUCGGAAAAUUGUUCGUCUGCAUGGUAUUCUAGUUUCCAUCAUUUUAGAUAGAGGUACUCAGUUUACAUCACGGUUCUGGAGGGCCGUUCAUCAUGAGUUGGGUACUCGGGUGGAGUUGAGUAUAUUAUUUCACCCUCAUACAGAUAGACAGUCCGAGCGUACAAUUCAGAUUCUUGAGGAUAUGCUUUGUGCGUGUGUUAUUGAGUUCGGAGGGUCUUGGGAUCAGUUCUUGCCAUUGGCGGAGUUUGCUUACAACAACAGCUAUCAGUCCAACAUUCAGAUGGCACCGUAUGAGGCCUUAUAUGGUAGGCGGUGUAGGUCCCUGGUGGGUUGGUUUGAGCCGGGUGAGGCCGGAUUAUUGGGCACAGACUUGGUACAGGAUGCUUUGGAGAAGGUUAAGGUGAUUCAGGAUAGACUCCAUACAGCCCAAUCCAGACAUAAGAGCUACGCGGACCGGAAGGUUCGUGAUGUUUCCUAUAUGGUUGGAAAGCGGGUUCUGCUUCGGGUUUCACCUAUGAAGGGCGUUAUGAGAUUUGGGAAGAAAGGAAAGUUGAGUCUGAGGUUUAUUGGUCCUUUUGAGAUAUUGCGGUGUGUUGGGGAGCUUGCUUAUGAGCUUGCUUUACCUCCCAGCUUGGUAGGAGUUCAUCCGGAAUUUCAUGUUUCGAUGCUCCGGAGGUAUCACGGUGAUCUAUCGCACGUGUUAGAUUUCAGUUCAGUCCAGUUGGACAAGGAUCUAUCCUAUUUUGAGGAGCCGGUGGCAAUAUUGGAUAGGCAGGUUAGAAAGCUGAGGUCAAAGAACAUUGCAUCAGUGAAGGUUCAGUAGCGGGGUCAGCCGGUUGAGGAGGCGACCUGGGAGAUCGAGCAGGAUAUGCACAGCUGUUACCCUUAUCUUUUCACUACUUCAGGUAUGUUUUUAUGCUCGUUCGAGGACGAAUGAAUGUUUAAGUGUAGGAGGUUGUGACGACCCAGCCGGUCGUCUUAAGAAUUAACGCCCCGAUCCCCCUAUUAACUAAUUUCCCUGUAUUUAUAUAUGCUAUUUUGAUUUGCCAGGAUGUUCGGUUUUAAGUUUCGGAGAAUUUUGGAACACUUAGUCCCUAAAUGAGAGCUUAAGUGUUGGAAAUUUUACCGUAGUCGGAACAGUGUGAAGACGGGCUCGGAAUGGAAAUUCAAUGGUUUCGUUGGGUGAUUUCGGGGUGAGGAGCAUGUUCGAAAUGCGUUUUGGAGGUCCAUAGCUAAUUUAGGAUUAAAAUGUCGAAAGUCAAAAUUUUGAAGUUUUCGGUUCGAUAGUGAGAUUUUGAUCCAAGGGUCGGAAUGGAAUUUUGGAAGUUGGAGUAGCUCUGCAGUGUUGAAUGUGACGUUUGGGCAAAAUUUCAGGUCAUUCGGACGAGGUUUGAUAGACUUUUUGAUCGAAAGCGUAUUUUUUUAGAGUUUUGGAAUUUUUAGGCUUGAAUCCGUGGUUGAUUUGACGUUUCGAUGUUGUUUUAGAUGUUUUAAGGAUUGGUAUAAGUUUGGACAGUGGUAUUAGACUUUUUGGUGUCUUUGGUUGAAGUCUCGGGGGCAUCGGGAUGAUUUCAGAUGGUUGACGGAUGGAUUUUGGAGUUUGGAGUUGCAGCUUCAGCUAGUUUUCUGUCAUAACCACACCUGCAAGUGUGGGACCGCUGGUGCGGAGCCGCAGAAGCAGCAUUUGGCAUUGCAGAAGUGGAAAUAGGGAGGUUCAGCAGGAGCCGCAGAAGUGGUAGAAUUUCCACAGGAGUGGUACCGCAUCUGCGGAUGGGGAGUCGCAGAUGCAGAAUUAGGUUGAGUAAGUAAUUGUCGCAGAUGUGACCAUUGGUCCAUAAAAGUGGGAUCGCAGAUGCGGUCCCAGGGCCACAGAUGCGGAAAUCGCUGGGCAGAAACAUAUAAAUACUUGCCUUCGUGAAAUUUAGCUAUUGUUCACCAUAUUUCAAACGGGAAGAAGCUUGGGAAGCACUUUUCAAGAGGGAUUUUCAGAGGAGCUCAUUGGGGUAAGGUCUUUGGUCCCUAAACUCGUUAUUGGAAUAAUUUUUAUCAAUUUAAGCACGAAUAAUUAAGGAAAAACAGUAGUAAUUUGUGGGUUAGGGCUUAACUAAGUAGAGGCCUUUGAGUGAUGAUUUGAGGGACCAAUUGAGGUCCGAGUUUGGUACUUUUAGUAGGACUGAACUCGUGAAAGUGUGAGGAUUCUGAAAAUAUAAAUUUUACCGAAAUUCCAAGAAGUGGACCCGAGGGGUAUAUUGGUCAUUUUACCUAAUUUUGUGUAUUAGCUUAUGAUUUAAUUGUAGAAUCAAUUACUUGAAGUGUUAUUUGCAUUAUGAAAUUGGAUUUAAUAGAUUUGGGCCAUUUGGAGUCGAGUACUCGUGGCAAGAGCGUGGUUUCGGAUGAUUGAGCUAGUUCGAGGUAAGUGGUUUGUCUAACCUUGUGUGGGGGACUUUCCCCUUAGGAUUUGGUAUUAUUAUUAAUUGAAAUGCCAUGUACGUGAGGUGACGAGUGGGUACUUGUGCUAAUUGUUGAAAAUCCGAUUUUUUAUUAAGUAAUUACUAGUAUGUUUCUUUUCCUGUUUUUAUUACUUGUACAUUAAGCAUGUGGUUAGUUUAGGAAAGCAUGUCUAAAUAAUUUAAUUGCUCAAACUGCCUUACCUGAAUUCUGUGCAGCAUGUUAGGCUAGAACUACAUGUUUGCCUUAAUAUGCAAUUUGACAUUUCUGAAUAUUUUCAUGUUGUUGAUGUGUAUUUACAUUGGGACUAUUUACAUCUAGGACUACGGGUGUGGGAUUCCGGUAGAUCCCCCUACACAAUUAUAUGGAACUACGGGAAUGCACCCGAUAGAUUCUCCCAGUACAGGGUAUUUACAUUUGGGACUACGGAACGGGAUUUUGGUAGAUCCCUGCGCACUAUGAGUUGGACUACGGGACGGGAUCCCGGGAGAUCCAUUGGAUAUGUAUAUUUGGGACUACAGGACGGUAUCCUGAGAGAUCUCCGAUUGUUAUUUUUGGUACUGAGUGGUAUUUCUCUCUAUGUACUUUGCCUCUGUAGUAGUUGUUGCUGUCAUUUUUAUCAUGUGUUGCUUUUAUUGUUGUACUUAUUUAUAUUGUUCUGUUCUACACUGUCGAACCUUAUAUUUUUAUUUAACCUCAGUAGGGCCCUGACCUUCCUCGCUACUACCCGACCGAGGUUAGGCUUGGCACUUACUAAGUACCACUGUGGUGUACUUAUGCCCUUUCUGCGCAUAUUUUUCAUGUGCAAAUCUAGGUACUUCGAAUCGGACUUACCAUCCUUUAGGCGAGGCGAACCUUCUGAGACUUUGAGGUAUAUAUGUCGCGUCUGCAGACCGAGGAGUCUCUCUCCAUUCUCCUUUGUAGUUACAGCCUUAUGUAUUUACUUUGUUUAGACUAUUCUGGAGUUAGAGAACUAUGUAGUAUCCUUAGCUUGUGAUACAUGGGUUUCCGGAUUUUGGGCAUAUGUACUAGCUUUUGAGAGUUAAAUAUUGUGUAUGCAGAGCGGCACUUUUAAACGUUAUUUUAUUACUCUAUUUCUAUUUUAAAUUAUUUUCUUCCGCGAAUUUAUUUAUCUUUCGCAUUUUAGGCUUACCUAGUCGUAGAGACUAGGUGGUGUCAUGAUCGUUCACGGAGGGCGCCCAAGGUGCUAUGACUAUCUCAGAAUAUGCAGUUUGUUACACUAGUUUGCCUAGGCAUGCACCAGCUUUGGUUUCUACUGUUCGCGAGAGGGUUCGCUAGUUUAUUGAGGGCCUUAUUCCCAGCAUCAGAUCUAACAUGGCUCGUGAGUUGGAGAUGGAUAUUUCUUAUCAACAGGUGGAGAGUAUUUCUAGGAGGAUUGAGGGUAUGCAUGCUAGGGAUAGAGAGGAGAGGGAGGCCAAGAGGUCUCGAGAGUCGGGCCAUUAUUCUGGAGCCCGUUCCCCAGCUGCAGGUCAUCAUGGUAGGGGUUAUAUGAGUCGCCCUGUUCAUUUAGCUCUUCCUGCAGCCAGUGGUAUUCCAGCUCCUCCUAGGCCUCCGGAGCCUUAUUAUACACCUCUGGUAUCUAGUCGCCUCAUAUGCGGGGUGCUUUCAGAGGUUAGUCCAGCAGACCUGGCCCGAGCCAGUCACAGCCACCACGUCCUCCCAAAGCUUUUUUGAGUGUGGUAACACACACCAUAUGGUGAGGAAUUUCCCUAGACUUGGGAGGGGUGCACCUCUACAGACUUCUCAGCCACAACGUGCCCCACUGAGUUCUCAGGCUAUGGUUACAACUCCAGUUGCUACCCCACCUGCUCAGCCAGCUAGAGGUAGAGGUCAGGGAGGUAGAGGUUGCCCUAGAGGGGGAGGCCAGGCCCGAUACUAUGCCCUUCCUGCCCAUACCGAGGCAGUUGCCUCCGAUUCUUUCAUCCCAGGUAUUAUACUAGUUUGUCACAGAGGUGCAUCAGUUCUAUUCGAUCCAGUCUCUACUUACUCUUAUGUGUGUUCUUAUUUUGCUCCACAUUUGGGUGUACCUCGGGAUUCUUUGAGUUCCCUUGUUUAUGGUUCUACUCUUGUGGGAGAUUCUCUUGUUGUGGACCGCAUUUAUCGGUCGUGUUUGGUUGCUCUUAGUGGUUUUGAGACCAGAGCCGAUUUAUUGUUGCUCAGCAUGGUAGAUUUUGAUAUCAUCUUGGGCAUGGACUGGUUGUCGCCCCAUUAUACUAUUCUUGAUGGUCACGCCAAAACUGUGACGCUGGCUAUGCCAAGUGUACCACAUGUAAAGUGGAGGGGUACUUUAGAUCACACUCAUAAUAGAGUUAUUUCUUUUCUUAAAGCUCAGCGUGUGGUUGAGAAGGGGUGUGACACGUAUUUAGCUUAUGUAAGGGAUGUCAGUAUUCAUACCCCUUGAGUUGAUUCAGUUCCAGUAGUACAGGAUUUUCCCGAUGUGUUUCUAGCUGAUCUUCCGGGCAUGCCACCUGAUAGAGAUAUUAAUUUUGGCAUUGAUUUGUUGUCGGGCACUCAGCCCAUUUCUAUUCCUCCGUAUCGUAUGGCUCCUCCUAGGUAUUUACAUUUGGAACUACGGAACGGGAUUCCGAUAGAUCCCCACGCACUAUAUGUUGGACUACCGGAUGGGAUCCCGGGAGAUCUAUUGGUUAUGUAUAUUUGGGACUACAGGACGGUAUCCUGGGAGAUCCCCGAUUGUUAUUCUUGGUAGUGAGCCAUAUUUCUCUCUAUGUAUUUUGCCUAUAUAGUAGGUGUUGUUGUCCUUUAUAUCCUGUGUUGCUUUUACUGCAUUGUCGAACCUUAUAUUUUUAUUUAACCUCAGUAGGGCCCUGACCUUCCUCGUCACUACCCGACCGAGGUUACGCUUGGCACUCACUGAGUAUCGCUGUGGUGUACUCAUGCCCUUUCUACGCAUGUUUUUCAUGUGCAGAUCUAGGUACUUCGACUCAGACUUACCAUCCUUGAGGCGAGGCAACCCUUCGAAGACUUUGAGAUAUAUUUGUCGCGUCCGCAGACUGAGGAGUCUCUCUCCAUUCUCCCUUGUAGUUACAGCCCUUCUGUAUUUACUUUGUUUUAGACUAUUCUGGAGUUAGAGCACUAUGUAGUAUCCUUAUCUUGUGAUUCAUGGGUUUCCGAGUUUUGAGCAUAUGUACUAGCUUUUGAGAGUUAAAUAUUGUAUAUGUUGAGCGGCACUUUUAAAUUUUGUUUUAUUACUCUAUUUCUAUUUUAAAUUAUUUUCUUCCGCGAAUUUGUUUAUCUUCCUCAUUUUAGGUUUACCUAGUUGUAGAGACUAGGUGCCGUCAUGAUGGUUCACGGAGGGCGAACCGGGGUCAUGACACCAGGUGACCCCGACACACAACCAUAUCAUCCUAAGACCUAUAAGCCAAUUUAAUCCUUUCUCAUGCGCCCAAUAGUAUCUCAAAUUGAAAUGUCCACUCUGAAGAGAAUUUAUAUGAAUUUGAAGUUAUAUAUUUUAUAUCUCUAAUACAGCAAUGUAGAAUCAAUAAUGAUACACAAAUACUACAACUCUCGGGCACAAUCCAAUGCAAAUCUCAAAUCUUUAGCCACACAAUAAAAUUAAAUAAAUCCUUAAGUACCACCUCCUAGAAAUUAAACCCACUAGAACCUUUCUUGAGAGUCAUCCACUCAGCUCUAAUCUCCCAUGUAGCCAAUAAAUGUUGAAUGGCUUGUGCUCCAUUAGCAUAAAAAUAAUUUAAGAAGCAGCCUCAUUCUUAAGCAAUCGAGUGAAUCCUUUCUCUUUAAACAGUACAUCCACAAUGAAUAACAAACCUAACUCAUCCAAAAAUUUUCAUAUACCCAUAGAUCAUAGUACAUCAUACAUCCAACAAAUUCCUUGAUCGAAUCAUCCUCGAAAUCAUCAUAUUCAAGUUAUAAUUGGUCCACAAAUUUUCCCUAAUCCAGAAAAUUACAACAUGUGCCCAAAUGAACCAUAUCGUUGUUUUAGACUCUCUCACUUGGCUCGAAGCCACAAAACACAUCAUCUGAUAUUCCGCAAUUAUCUUCUUUCUUAAGUACCACAAUCUUGCAUUGUUACUCAACUGAAUCUCCUCAUAAGCUCAUGCAACACUAGUCAUCAUACCUCCCAAAACAUCCAUUGAGUUCAUACCCAUCCUCGUGACACUCGUGUGAACUUCCUCAAGCUAUUUAAACUCUAAUUGUAAUACAUGCAUUCCACUAGAUAGAAGGCAAACUCUUUAUAGAAGCCUCAUGAGAAUCACACAACCUCAAAUCUCGUCGCAUGAGAUAACCCACUUGUUAAGCCUCAAACUGACAUCUUCCUAUGACCCUACCAUGGUCACAACCACUAUGUAAUCAAUUAAUCUUCCCGAGUCUACACUUAUCAACAAGAUAUAAUAAUCAAAUUUAUUCCUCUAAAGAACAACCGAAAGAUCCACCGAGACAUCCACAUCUUAAGACUAUACCACACAUUAAGAUAAAAAUCAAACAUCCAUAGCCCUUUGCAUCCCAAGAAAAUAUUUCUCAUUGUAUCCAAACCAUCUAAGCGUAUCUCUCAGUCAUAUAAUACUCAUCACAUAGCUAUCUUGCCACUCAUUGUGCCAUCAAUCCCACUCUUAGAGACACUACCGAGCAUAAGAGUCCAAAGGAACAUACUCAUACAACUAUCUACCAAGUCCAAGCUUUGGUCUAAACCUGGCCUCAAGUCCUCCAAACUGGCCUAUCUUCACAAUACAAAAACACUUCUCGCACCUCAUCCACAACAUCACAAGCCAUUGGUACAUAGAUGAUAAUGAGUGAUCAAUAUCACACAUGACUGAAUGAAAAACAAUUGAAGAUACAGGCUUCAAGCUGAACCAAGGUCGCAUGAUAAUGGAAAGAAAGAAGGUGAAGGUUCCUAGAUACCAUGUAGCCUCUCGAAGAUAAGUAUGUAUGUCAUUAUACCGAUUCUCAAGACUCUACUAGACAUUUGAUCAAGACUCGUAAAACCUAUUAGCCUAAUGCUCUGAUAACAACUUGUCAUGAUCUAAAACCCCACUUAAUCGUGAUGGUAACUAAGACAACCCAUUAGGUAAGCUAAAUAACAAAUAACACAACUCAAAUAAAAUGUCAUCAAUAAACAAUAAAUAAGAUAGCUGAAAUUCCUACAACUAUCCAAAGAAUGGGUGGUAUAAGUCAUGAGCCACUAAGAUUUAGAUGAACAAUGUCGGUAUGAAGAAAAUACAAUAUAAGUUUGAAUAUACAUAAACAUUAGUAAAAAUUCUAAACUGCCAUGAACAAGUGGUACCUUGUAUAUGGAACGCUAGUAAAACUUCAAUGCUAGUCUUCUUCAUCCACAGUAGCUCGACUCCAAGAUCUACACGCAAGGUGCAAAAGUGUAGUAUGAGUACAAUCGAUCUCAUGUACUCAGUAAGUAUAAAGACUAACUUUAAUAAAGUAGUGGUGAGGUUUUCAAGUCAUAAGAUACUCACUUUACUUAACUUGUGCAGCUUAAUAGCAUAAACAUAUACACAACAACAAUAUAGAAAUCUAAGCAUGAAUUAUAGUUAAGCCCAUCAGUGCACACAGAGAAGAUACGUACAAGCAUUACAAACUAACUAACACUCUAGCAUAUAGAGAGGAUAUGCACCUAGCACCAAUAAAUCAUCAAUAGAUGCAUAUAGAGAAGAUAUGUAUAAAUGAACAAGCCCAGUUGCACAAGUUGACAAAUAGAGAAGAUAUAUGAUGUAAAUCAAUUCUUCAACCAAAGCAACAUAUGGAGAGGAUAUGCAUGACCUAUCAAAUAACCGCCAAUAGUGGCAUAUAGAGGAGAAUAGUUUCAUAUAUAAGUAAAGCAGCGUAUAGAAAGAUAUACAAAGAUAUGUAUGAGUAAAUAAGUCAAUUACAUGAAUUAAUAUGCAAAGAUAUGUGCCGUAAACAUUAUAUCAAGUAACGUAGCAUAUAAAUAUAUGCACCAAAAGUAUGUAUACAUCAAGGGCUAGCAUAUACAGAAGAUAUGCAGUAAAUAAUCAUAUAUACAUCCUAGGAGUUUGCAUAGAGAGAAAUGCACAAAAUCCAACCACUGAUCAGUUUUUCAUAAUCCGCAUAUACAUUAUCAAGGAGAAACAUGAGACGACCCUAGGGGUACAUAUCCUUAUCCAUAUGCCACAUGAACAACCCACAUUUCAUAUUAUAACCACUGCAUAGACAACUUAUGUUCCAUGAUCCUGACAACCACACGGACAAUUCAUGUGCUAUAAUAACUUAACCUACACCGACCACUCACGUGCUAUCAAUGCAGUCCAUCACUAUAAAGCAAUACAACUAUAUAUGUAUACAAUAAACGGCUAUAAAAUCACAUGAUCAUGGACUAAGAAAAGUAACAUACUAAGGUGUAUGUGCAUGUGCAAAAUGUACAACUACAAAUCAGAUUAGGCGAGUAUGACAUAAUAAUGAGUUUUACGUUCAAACAAGGAAUCAAAACAUAUGCAUGAUUCAAGAGGUUAUGUAGGCAUAUAGACAUAUAGAGCAUGAUAGCAGGAAGCACAGUAUCCAAAAUAAGGCAUGAUACAACCUUAAGACUUCUACAAUCAUGAAUCAUACAUGGCACCAGUAUAUACACUUCUCACCUCACAUAUACAUCUCUUCUCAAAUAUUUCAAUUAUACAAAUAAGGUCAUAUCCUAAGGGUUAUUCCCUCACAAUAAGAUUAGGCAAAAUACUUACCUCAUCUAGAACUCCAUAUUUGUGACCACAGGUUCACAAUUACGGAGUUUGCAAUAGUGGCCAUAGGUUCGCAAUUGCGACGAAGGUUCGCAAUUGCAACUAGAAGUUCGCAAAUACGGAGGUUGUAAUUGCAAUCAAAUGUUCGCAAUUGCAAAGUAGUAGCACCAACAAUCCCAAACUCAACUGAAAUGGUCCGAAACUACCCAGAAUAACAUUUGAGCCCCUAGAACCUCGUCCAUUUAUUCCAACAAGUCCAUAUGCCCUAUUAUAACUUUUCUAAAGUCUCAAAACAUGAGUGACAAUGUCAAAACCAAUAAUUGAAGAUCGAAUCUAUCUCUUAACUUUCAAAUAUUCAAACUUCGUCGAAUGCGUCUGAAUCACACUUAGAUGUUCUGAAUAACAACCAAACUUUAUGCACAAGUUCAUAUCAACUAUUAGGAACUAUCUAAGGUCUCAAAACUCAAUAGGAGUUUUAUUACACCAAAGUCAAUUCCCGGUCAAACGUACAAACACUCCAAUUCUUCAAAUUGCUAACUUUUGACAAAUAGAUCCAAAGCCUUCCAGAAAAAUAUGAAUUAAAAUUCGAACAUAUGGUGAAGUCCAAAAUUACCAUAUGAAAUUAUUGAAACCAUCAAACCCUAAUUCUGAGGUCAUUUUCUCAAAAGUCAAAUCUGAUCAACUCUACCAACUUAAAGCUUUCAAAUUGGAGGAUCACUCUAUCAAGUUAAUUGUUACGACCCGGCCAGUCGUCUCAUGAAUUACCACUUUGUUUUCCCUAUUUCUACUUCUUUACACUUCGUUAUACGUGUUUUAUGUGAUCGAGUUGAUUAUUUUACGUUCGGAGUGGAUUUGGUAAGAAAUGAGGCACUUAGUCUCUUUUAAAAAGGUUUAAGUUGGAAAAGUCAACCGAAUUUUGACUUAUGUGUUAAAGGGCUCGGAUAUGAGUUCUGAUGGUUCGGUUAGCUUCGGGAGGUAAUUUAUGACUUAUGAGUGUGAUCAGAAUUGGUUUUGGAGGUCUGGAGUAGAAUUAGGCUUGAAUUGGCGAAGUUAGUAUUUUGGCGAUUUCCGGUUGGUUGGCGAGAUUUUGAUCCAAAAGUCAGAAUGGAACUCCGAGAGUUGUUGUAGCUUCGAUAUAUCAUUUGGGAUGUGUGUGCAAAAUUUCAGGUCAUCCGGAUGUGGUUUGGUUGGGUUUUUGAUCGAAAACGUAUUUCGGAAGUUUUUAGAAAACUUAGGCUUGAAUUCGAUGUGAAUUGAUGGAUUUGGCGUUGUUUGAGGUGUUUUGAUGAUUGGAACAAGUUUGAAUGAGGUAUUUGGUUGUGUUGGUGCUUUUGGUUGAGGUCCCGGGGGCAUCGGGGUGAUUUCAGAUGGCUAACGGGAAGUUUUGGAACUUGAGUGAUUGCAGUUUUUUCAACUGCUUCUGGUAUUUUCGCACCUGCGGUUUGGGGACCGCAGGUACGGUAUCGCAGAUACGUUGAUUCGAUCGCAGAAGCGGAAAGGCUGAAUAAGGCCUGGAACCGCAGAUGCGGAAGAGGGACUGCACCUGCGGAGCCGCAGAAGCGGCGAGUGGACCGUAGAUGCGGUGUUGGUCCGUUAAGUGAAAUUCUGCAGAUGUGAAGAAAUGACCGCAGAAGCGGUACCGCAGAAUCGGCUAUUGGAGCGCAGAUACGAUUAGGUCUGCGCAGAAGGUAUACAUGUUUCUUCUUCGCGAUUUUUGAAGGGUUUAACCAUUUUUAACUUCGGCCUUAGAGUUUUUGGGCGAUUUUGAAGAGAGAUUUCAAGGGAAAUUCGAUAAGGUAAGGAUUUUGGACUUAAAACACACUUCUAUGGUGGUAUUCCAUGAAUUAGGACUGAAAUUUAAGGAAUUAAUGGACUAAAAAUGGAGGUUUAGGGCUUGAGUUUAAGAGGGCUUAAAUUAAGGAUUUGAGGGGUCAAUUGAACUCUGAUUCUUAUAUUUUUUAUAUUUAUGAACUCGUGGGGAGAUAAGGAAUCUAAUGAUGUGAAAAUUUCUCAGUUUUGAAAAGUAGGCCCGAGGCUCGGGUUUUGCUAAUUUUGGGAUUUUUUGAUAUUUUUCUAUUUUUUCGCUUGGGCUUUGUUCCCAUAGCAUAUUGUGAUGUAUUCGUUCUGGUUUUGGUCAAAUUCGACGCUCGAAGAGGCCAAUUUGAGAGACAAGGGCAUUGCGAGCUAGAGAUUUAGCCGGUUUGAGGUGAGUAAUGAAUGUAAAUGAUGUCCUGAGGGUUUGAAACCCCGGAUUUGCACAUCGUAGUGCUAUAUUGAGGUGAGACACGCACUUGAUGAUGAGCGUGGGGUCGUUUACUAUUGGGGAUUGUGACUUGGUCCGUCCCGAUUGAUGAUUUUACAGCGUAUUUGAUAGAAACGUAUUUGUUAUCAUCAUUAUUUGGACUGAUUGCCAUAUUUGGGCUUUGUGCCAACUAUUUGAACCCUCCGGGGAUUUUUAUCACUCUUUCCUCACUGUUUUGACUUACUACUUGAACUCAGUCAUACUGUUUUCCACUGUUUUUACAACUCAGCCACUUUUUACUCGAUUUUGGAACUAAAAUGAUAUUUUAAAUGAUGUUUUGGGCUGACGACUACUGUUUUACUAAUGCCCGAGGGGCAUAUGUGAUUUCUGGAUUGAGUAUGACCGAGGGCCAGAUGUGAGGAUACAAUGAUGCUGAUAUGAGGCCGAGGGCCCGAGAUACAUAUAUACGCCACGAGGUGGCUGAUACUGAUAUGAGGUCGAGGGCCUAGAUUUGAUGCCACGAGAUGGCUUGAUAUUGUGCUUGGGCCGUAAGGGGCCCCUCCCGUAGUCUGCACACCCCCAGUGAACGCGGGUACCCAGUUGUGAUAUGAGAGAGAGAGAGAGCCCGAGGGGCUGGUACUGUUUUACGUGUUGAUUUUUCUUUAACUAUCUGUCACUUAACUAUUUAUCUGUUGUAGGAUUAUCUCAUUCCGCUUUUCAUUGGUUUAUUGCUUUUAUACUACUUGUUUAACUUACUACUUGUUUAACUGUCGCAUUAUAGAUUACCCUAUGUAUACAUGAUUUUUUACUCUCAGUCAUUAUUUAUGCUUAUUACUCACUAGGUCGGAGUACUCACAUUACUCAUUGCACCUUGCGUGCAGAUCCUGGUGUUCCAGAGGCUGAGUGAGAGCUUUCCAGUCGAUCAGCAUUAUCCGGGAGUAUUGAGGUAGCUUCAUGGCAUCCGCAACCCUGAUUUCUCCCUUCCUUUCUAAUGUAUUCUACAUUCCUAGAAUGUUUGUGUAGUAGGCUGUUGAAUUUGUAUUAGAGGCUCAAGACUUGUGACACCGGAUCGGGGUGGGCUAUGUAGUAGUAUUAUCUUUUGACUUCCGCAUAUUUAACUUGCUAUUUCAGAACCUUAUUAUGUUAAUUUGAUAAUUAAACUAUGUUAGCUGAUAUUGGAUUUUAUAAGGAAAUGGGUUGUAGUUGAUAGUUGGUCAGACUUGCCUAGCAAUGUGUUGGGCGCCAUCACGACCGGGGUUGGGGUCGUGACAAGUUGGUAUUAGAGCCUAGGUUACAUAGGUCUCGCAAGCCAAGAGCCGAUUUAGUAGAGUCUCGCGGAUCGAUACGGAGACGUCUGUAUUUAUCCUUGAGAGGCUGCAGAACCUUUAGGAAAAACUUCAUAUUCUUGAAACUCUUGUCGUGUGAACUUGUUGGUCCGAGUACUAAACUUCUGUUAUUCCAUUCUCUCGCAGAUGGUGAGGACGCGAGCUACUGGACGAGGUGGACGACCACCAGUGCCACCAGCUGAGACCACCAGAGGCAGUUGAUGCGGUCGUGGUCGUGGCAGAGGCAGAGCAGCGAGGGCAGCACCUGUAGAUCCACCAGCUGCCCUAACUCGGGAUCAGGCUCCAGCUUUGGAUGCUCCAACAACACCAGUUCAGGCACCAGUUGUGCCCAUUGUCAUUCCGGGUCUUCAGGAGGCCUUGGCACAGAUCUUAUCAGUUUGUACUGGCCUGGCUCAGGCAGUUUUAGCCACCAUAGCAGCAGGUACUUCAUGGGAGGCGAUCAAACCCCCUCUGCUCGCACACCUGAGCAGGUAGUGUAGGGACUUCAGACGCCGGGAGCACCUCCAGCCCAUCCGGUUGCACCAGCUUAGGAGUUUGUUGUGCCAGUUAUGCUGGAUGAUGAGCAGCGUCAUCUUAAGAGGUUUGGUAGACUCCAGCCUUCAUCAUUUAGUGGUGUUGAGGGCGAGGAUGCCCAGGGUUUUCUAGAUAAGUGUCAGCGGAUGCUCCGUACAGCUGGGAUUCUUGAGUCUAGUGGUGUGGAAUGUACUACCUUUCAGUUUUCUGGGGCUGCCUUCACUUGGUGGGAGGCGUAUGAGANNNNNNNNNNNNNNNNNNNNNNNNNNNNNNNNNNNNNNNNNNNNNNNNNNNNNNNNNNNNNNNNNNNNNNNNNNNNNNNNNNNNNNNNNNNNNNNNNNNNNNNNNNNNNNNNNNNNNNNNNNNNNNNNNNNNNNNNNNNNNNNNNNNNNNNNNNNNNNNNNNNNNNNNNNNNNNNNNNNNNNNNNNNNNNNNNNNNNNNNNNNNNNNNNNNNNNNNNNNNNNNNNNNNNNNNNNNNNNNNNNNNNNNNNNNNNNNNNNNNNNNNNNNNNNNNNNNNNNNNNNNNNNNNNNNNNNNNNNNNNNNNNNNNNNNNNNNNNNNNNNNNNNNNNNNNNNNNNNNNNNNNNNNNNNNNNNNNNNNNNNNNNNNNNNNNNNNNNNNNNNNNNNNNNNNNNNNNNNNNNNNNNNNNNNNNNNNNNNNNNNNNNNNNNNNNNNNNNNNNNNNNNNNNNNNNNNNNNNNNNNNNNNNNNNNNNNNNNNNNNNNNNNNNNNNNNNNNNNNNNNNNNNNNNNNNNNNNNNNNNNNNNNNNNNNNNNNNNNNNNNNNNNNNNNNNNNNNNNNNNNNNNNNNNNNNNNNNNNNNNNNNNNNNNNNNNNNNNNNNNNNNNNNNNNNNNNNNNNNNNNNNNNNNNNNNNNNNNNNNNNNNNNNNNNNNNNNNNNNNNNNNNNNNNNNNNNNNNNNNNNNNNNNNNNNNNNNNNNNNNNNNNNNNNNNNNNNNNNNNNNNNNNNNNNNNNNNNNNNNNNNNNNNNNNNNNNNNNNNNNNNNNNNNNNNNNNNNNNNNNNNNNNNNNNNNNNNNNNNNNNNNNNNNNNNNNNNNNNNNNNNNNNNNNNNNNNNNNNNNNNNNNNNNNNNNNNNNNNNNNNNNNNNNNNNNNNNNNNNNNNNNNNNNNNNNNNNNNNNNNNNNNNNNNNNNNNNNNNNNNNNNNNNNNNNNNNNNNNNNNNNNNNNNNNNNNNNNNNNNNNNNNNNNNNNNNNNNNNNNNNNNNNNNNNNNNNNNNNNNNNNNNNNNNNNNNNNNNNNNNNNNNNNNNNNNNNNNNNNNNNNNNNNNNNNNNNNNNNNNNNNNNNNNNNNNNNNNNNNNNNNNNNNNNNNNNNNNNNNNNNNNNNNNNNNNNNNNNNNNNNNNNNNNNNNNNNNNNNNNNNNNNNNNNNNNNNNNNNNNNNNNNNNNNNNNNNNNNNNNNNNNNNNNNNNNNNNNNNNNNNNNNNNNNNNNNNNNNNNNNNNNNNNNNNNNNNNNNNNNNNNNNNNNNNNNNNNNNNNNNNNNNNNNNNNNNNNNNNNNNNNNNNNNNNNNNNNNNNNNNNNNNNNNNNNNNNNNNNNNNNNNNNNNNNNNNNNNNNNNNNNNNNNNNNNNNNNCCCAUGAGUUUCUUGCUUUACCUAUUCAUGUAUCUACCCUGGUUGGCGAUAUUAUUGUUGUUGACCGUGUAUACCGGUCAUGUAUGGUGACUAUUAGGGGUCUGGAGACCCGAGUGAAUCUAUUGCUAUUGAGCAUGAUAGAUUUUGAUGUCAUUUUGGGCAUGGAUUGGUCAUCUCCGUGUCAUGCUAUUCUAGACUGUCAUGCUAAGACAGUCACUUUGGCUAUGCCGGGUGUGCCGCGAAUCGAGUGGCGUGGUGUGACUGAUUAUGUUCCUAGUAGAGUGAUCUCUUUCUUGAAGGCCUAGCGUAUGGUUGGGAAGGGUUGUCUUUCAUAUCUAACAUUUGUGAGGGAUGUUGGAGCUGAGACUCCAAGUAUUGAUUUUGUACCAGUUGUGAGGGAUUUUCCCGAUAUAUUUCCUGCAGACCUGUCGGGUAUGCCACCGGACAGGGAUAUUGAUUUUGGUAUUGACCUGGUGUCGGGCGCUCAGCCCAGUUUUAUUCCGCCAUAUCGUAUGGCACCAACGAAGUUGAAAGAAUUGAAAGAACAGCUUCAGGAACUCCUAGAUAAGGGGUUCAUUCGGCCUAGUGUGUCACCUUGGGGAGCGCUGGUUCUGUUUAUGAAGAAGAAUGAUGGCACAAUGAGAAUGUCAUUGAUUAUAGGAAAUUGAACAAGGUAACAAUUAAGAACAAGUAUCCUUUGCCUCGGAUUGAUGAUUUAUUUGACCAGCUUCAGGAAGCGAGGGUGUUCUCCAAGAUUUAUAUCCGUUUGUGUUAUCACCAGUUGAAGAUCAGGGAUUCAGUUAUUCUUAAGACUGCUUUCAAGACCAGAUAUGGUCAUUAUGAGUUUCUUGUUAUGUCUUUCGGGCUAACCAAUGUCCCAGCAGCAUUCAUGCAUUUAAUGAACAACGUGUUCUAUCCUUAUCUUGAUUCAUUCGUUAUAGUAUUCAUUGAUGAUAUUCUGGUAUACUCGCAUAGUUAGGAGGAGCACACGGAGCAUUUGAGAGUUGUAUUGCAGAGAUUAAUGGAGGAGAAGCUUUAUGCAAAAUUCUCCAAGUGUGAGUUUUGGCUCAGUUCAGUGGCUUUCUUGGGGCACGUGGUGUCCAGCGAGGGUAUUCAGGUUGAUCCAAAGAAGAUUGAGGUGGUUCAGAGUUGGCCUAGAUCGUCCUCAGCCACAGAGAUUUGUAGCUUUAUUGGGUUGGCAGGCUAUUAUCACCGGUUUGUUUAGGGAUUCUCAUCUAUCGCAUCGCCCUUGACCAAGUUGACUCAAAAGGGUGUUUCAUUUGUAUGGUCGGACGAGUGUGAGGAGAGCUUUCAGAAGCCCAAGACAGUUUUGACCAUAGCUCCAGUAUUGGUUUUGCCAUCAACUUCAGGUUCAUAUACCGUGUAUUGUGAUGCUUCGAGAGUUGGGAUUGGUUGUGUAUUGAUGCAGGAGGGUAGAGUUAUUGCUUUUGCUUCUCGUCAGUCGAAGCCCCAUGAGAAGAACUACCAUGUUCAUGAUUUGGAGUUGGCCGCCAUAGUUCAUGCAUUGAAGAUUGGGAGGCAUUAUUUGUAUGGAGUAUCUUGUGAGGUAUUCACCGAUCAAGUCUUCAACAUUUGUUCAGGCAAAAGGAUCUUAAUUUGAGGCAGCGGAGAUGGUUGGAGUUGCUCAAGGAUUAUGAUAUCACUAUAUAGUACCAUCCGGGAAAGGCCAAUGUGGUAGCCAAUUCUUUGAGCCGAAAGGCAGUGAGUAUGGGGAGUUUGGCAUAUAAUCCAGUUGGGGAGAGACCCCUAGCAGUUGAUGUUCAAGCCUUGGCCAAUCGGUUCGUGAGGUUGGAUAUUUCGGAGCCUAGUCGGGUGUUGGCGUGUGUGAUUUCUUAGUCUUCCUUGUAUAAUCGCAUCAGAGAGCACCAGUAUGAUGAUUCGCAUUUGCUUGUCCUUAGGGACAGAGUUCAGCAUGAUGAUGCUAGAUAUGUGACCAUCGGCGAUGAUGGAGUAUUGAGUAUACAGGGCCGGAUUUGUGUGUCCAAUGUGGAUGGGCUUAGAUAGUUGAUUCUGGAGGAGGCCCAUAGCUCGCGGUAUUCCAUUCAUCCGGGUUCCGCGAAGAUGUAUCAGGAUUGGAGGCAACACUAUUGGUGGAGAAGAAUGAAGAAAGAUAUUGUGGGAUUUGUAGCUCGGUGUCUCAACUUUCAGCAGGGAAAAUAUAAGCAUCAGAGACCGGGUGGCUUGCUUCAGCAGAUGGUUAUUCCCGAGUGGAAGUGGGAGAGGAUUACUAUAGACUUUGUUGUUGGACUUCCACGGACUUUGAAGAAGUUCGAUGCUAUUUGGCUGAUUGUGUAUCGGCUGACCAAGUCUGCGGACUUCAUUCCUGUGUGUACUACUUAUUCUUCAGAGCGGUUAGUAGAGAUAUAUAUAUCCGGGAGAUUGUUUGGUUGUAUGGUGUUCCGGUUUCCAUCAUCUCAGAUAGAGGUACUCAGUUUACUUCCUAGUUUUGGAAGUCUGUUCAGCGAGAGUUGGGUACUCAGGUGGAGUUGAGCACAGCUUUUCAUCCUCAGACGGAUGGGUAGUCCGAGCGUACUAUUCGGAUAUUGGAGGACAUGUUGCGUUCUUGUGUUAUUGAUUUCAGAGGUUCAUGGGAUACGUUUCUACCACUUGCAGAGUUUGCCUACAACAACAGCUACCAGUCGAGUAUUUGGAUGGCUCCAUAUGAGGCUUUGUAUGGGAGGCGGUGUAGAUCUCCAGUUGGUUGGUUCGAGCCCGGCGAGGCUAGGCUAUUGGGGACAGAUUUGGUUCAGGAUGCCUUAGAGAAGGUGAAGGUGAUUCAGGAGAGGCUUCGUAUAGCGCAGUCGCAUCAGAAGAGUUAUGCGGACUGAAAGGUUCGGGAUGUGUCCUAUAUGGUGGGUGAGAAGGUCUUGUUGAAGGUUUCGCCCAUGAAGGGUGUUAUGAGAUUUGGGAAGAAAGGAAAGUUGAGUCCGCGGUUUAUUGGGCUUUUGAGGUGCUUCGGAGGAUUGGGGAUGUGGCUUAUGAGCUUGCUUUUCCACCCAGUAUGUCGAAUGUGCAUCUGGUAUUUCAUGUUUCUAUGCUCCGAAAGUAUAUCGAGGAUCUGUCUCAUGUUUUGGACUUCAGCACGGUUUAGUUGGGUGAUAAUUUGACCUUUGAUGUGGAGCCAGUAGCUAUUUUGGGCCAUCAGGUUCGGAAGUUGAGAUCAAAGGAUAUAGCUUUAGUGAAAGUGCAAUGGAGAGGUCGGCCCGUGGAGGAGGCUACCUGGGAGACCGAGCGGGAGAUGCAGAGCAGAUAUCCUCAUCCAUUUGAGGCUUCAGGUAUGUUUCUUGACUCGUUCGAGGACGAACGUUUGUUUAAGUUGGGGAGGAUGUGAUGACCCGGCCAGUCGUCUCAUGAUUACCGCUCCAUUUUCCCUAUUUCUACUUCUUUAUGCUUCGUUAUUCGUGUUUUAUGUGAUCGAGUUGAUUAGUUUGCGUUCAGAGUGGAUUUGGUAAGAAAUGAGGCACUUAGUCUCUUUUAAGAAGGUUUAAGUUGAAAAAGUCAAACGGAUAUUGACUUAUGUGUUAGAGGGAUCAGAUGUGAGUUCUGAUGGUUCGGUUAUCUUCGGGAGAUGAUUUAUGACUUAGGAGUGUGAUCAGAAUUGGUUUUGGAGGUCCGGAGUAGAAUUAGGCUUGAAUUGGCGAAGUUAGUAUUUUGGCGAUUUCUGGUUGGUUGGCGAGAUUUUGAUCCAAGGGUCGGAAUGGAAUUCCGAGAGUUGUUGUAGCUUUGUUAUGUCAUUUGGGAUGUGUGUGCAAAAUUUCAGGUCAUUCGGACGUGGUUUAGUUGGAUUUUGAAUCGAAAAUGUAUUUCGGAAGUUUUUAGAAAACUUAGGCUUGAAUUCGAUGUGAAUUGAUGGAUUUGGCAUUGUUUGAGGUGUUUUGAUGAUUCGAACAAGUUUGAAUGAGGUAUUGGGUUGUGUUGGUGCUUUUGGUUGAGGUCCCGGGGGCCUCGGGGUGAUUUCGGAUGGCUAACGGGAAGUUUUGGAACUUGAGUAAUUGCGGUUUUUUCUGCUGCUUCUGGUGUUUUCGCACCUGCGGUUUGGGGACUGCAGGUGCGGUAUCGCAGAUGCGUUGAUUCGAUCGCAGAAGCGGAAAGGCUAAAUAAGGCCUGGAACCGCAGAUGCGGAAGAGGGACCGCACCUGCGGAGCCGCAGAAGCGGCGAGUGGACCGCAGAUGCGGUGUUGGUCCGUUAAGUGAAAUUCCGUAUAUGCGGAGAAAUGACCGCAGAAACGGUACCGCAGAAGCGGCUGUUGGACCGCAGAUGCUGUUAUGUCUAGGCAGAAGGUAUAUAUGUUUCUUCUUCGCGAUUUUUGAAGGGUUUAACCAUUUUUAAUUUCGGACUUAGAGUUUUUGGGUAAUUUUGAAGAGAGAUUUCAAGGGAACUUUGAUAAGGUAAGGAUUUUGGACUUAAAACACACUUCUAUGGUGGUAUUCCAUGAAUUAGGACUGAAAUAUAAGGAAUUAAUGGACUAAAAAUGGAGGUUUAGGGCUUGAGUUUAAGAGGGCUUAAAUUAAGGAUUUGAGGGGUCAGUUGAACUCCGAUUCUGGUGUUUUUGAUAUGUAUGAACUCGUGGGGAGAUAAAGCAUCUAAUGAUGUGAAAAUUUCUGAGUUUCGAGAAGUGGGCCCGGGGCUCGAGUUUUGCUAACUUCGGGAUUUUUUGAUAUUUUUCGAUUGUUUUCGCUUGGGCUUUGUUUCCUUAGCAUAUUGUGACAUAUUCAUUCUGGUUUUGGUCAGAUUCGACGCGCGAGGAGGCCGAUUUGAGAGGCAAGGGCGUCGCGAGCUAGAGAUUUAGCCGGUUUGAGGUGAGUAAUGAAUGUAAAUGAUGUCCUGAGGGUUUGAAACCCCGAAUUUGCACAUCGUAGUGCUAUAUUGAGGUGAGACACGUGCUUGAUGAUGAGCGUGGCGUCGUUUACUAUUGGGGAUUGUGACUUGGCCCAUCCCGAUUGAUGAUUUUACCGCGUAUUUGAUUGAAACGUAUUUGUUAUCAUCAUUAUUUGGACAGAUUGUCAUAUUUGGAAUUCGUGCCAACUAUUUGAACCCUCCGAGGAUUUUUAUCACUAUUUCCUCACUGUUUUGACUUACUACUUGAACUCAGUCGUACUGUUUCCACUGUUUUUACAACUCAACCACUUUUUACUCGGUUUUGGAACUAAAAUGAUAUUUUAAAUGAUGUUUAGGCUGAGGACUACUGUUUUACUAAUGCCCGAGGGGCUUAUGUGAUUUCUGGACUGAGUAUGGUCGAGGGCCAGAUGUGAGGAUACAAUGAUACUGAUAUAAGGCCGAGGGCCUGAGAUUCAUAUUUACGCCGCGAGGUGGCUGAUACUGAUAUGAGGCUGAGGGCCUAGAUUUGAUGCCACGAGAUGGCUUGAUAUUGCGCUUGGGUCGUAAGGGGCCUCUCCCGGAGUCUGCACACCCCCCGUGAGCGCGGGUACCCAAUUAUGAUAUGAGAGAGAGAGCCCGAGGGGCUGGUACUGUUCUACGUGUUGAUUUUUCUGUAACUGUCUGUCACUUAACUGCUUAUCUGUUGUAGAAUUAUCUCAUUCUGCUUUUCAUUGGUUUAUUUCUUUUAUACUACUUGUUUAACUGUCGCAUUAUAGAUUACCCUGUGUAUACGUGAUCUCUUACUCUCGGUCAUUAUUUAUGCUUAUUACUCACUGGGUCGGAGUAUUCACAUUACUCUCUGCACCUUGCGUGUAGAUCCAGGUAUUCCAGAGGCUGAGUUAGAGCUUUCCAGUCGAUCAGCAUUAUCCGGGAGUAUCGAGGUAGCUGCAUGGCAUCCGCAACCCUGAUUUUUCCCUUCCUUUCUAUUGUAUUUCGCAUUCCUAGACUGUUUGUGUAGUAGGCUAUUGAAUUUGUAUUUGAGGCUCGAGACUUGUGACACCGGAUCGGGGUGGGCUAUGUAGUAGUAUUAUCUUUUGACUUCCGCAUAUUUAACUUGCUGUUUCAGAACCUUAUAAUAUUAAUUUGAUAAUUAAACUGUGUUAGCUGAUAUUGGAUUUUAUAAGAAAAUGGGUUGUGGUUGAUAGUUGGUCAGGCUUGCCUAGCAAUGUGUUGGGUGCCAUCACGACCGGGGUUGGGGUCGUGACAUCAAUCCUUAAUAUUUAGAACAUAAAAACAAACCAUAUACAAAAGUCAUAAUACAUCAUAUGAAGCUACUUAAGUUCUCAAGCUACCGAAUGAAAAUUCUAAAGUUUGAAACGAUCGGUCGAGUUGUUACAAGUAACUUGGCAAAAGUUAUAUGGAGGUGUGCAGGAGGUUUGGAAGCAUUAUACCUCAGGAAAUAGUGGGAUGAAUUUAACAAAAUUAUACAGUUAGGGAGUGUGGAUCAAUAUCAAGAACGAUUUGAGGGACUCACUAGCUAUAUGACCACUAUUAAUCCAUUAUUAAAUGACACCCACAUUGUUUCUAUCUAUAUUAGUGGUUUAAAACCUGAAUUGAAACCACUACUAGCUAACCCCUCAACUAUUAUGGAUGUUUAUGAGAAUGCUAAAUUGUAUGAGGAGUUUUUGCAGCCUUUGCUUCACUCAUUCCCUCAAAACCUGUUUAUUACCUAUCUAACCCAAGACCCUUAGCCCUUACCUAUCCUAGAGCCCCCCAAAAUCCCAAACCAAUAGCCCUACCAAAUCCUAACCAACCUUUGAGAAUUACUUACCCAAACCAAAAGCCACAUGUUAGUGCUCCCCUCAAACCAAAUUCUUUUGAAGCAUUGAGAGAAUAGGGUUUGUGUUAUAAAUGUAAAGACAGGUAUUACCCAGGUCAUAUGUGUAAAGACAAGACUUUCCAUGUUAUGGAAGGGGUGCUAGUGGAAGGUGAACCAGAGAUAGACGAGUUUGUAGAUGUCACAUAAACCUUUGAGUAAAAUAUAGAAGAACAAGUUGAAGUUUCAAUUAAUUUAGUGCUUGGAUUAGGUAGCUCUACUUCUAUCAUUAAGUUACUUGGCUUUGCUAAAAUGAUUUCUUGAUUGUGCUAAUUGAUAGUGGCUCCACCCACUCUUUUGUUGAUCCUUAUGUAUCCAACUACUUAAGGUUACAAGUGUAGCCUAGUACAGUACCUUUAAAAGUAUCUGUGGAAAUGGUGAAUCCAUGUACUGCAAUAAGGAAUGCCCUCUGUUUUCUUGGAAAAUGCAGGAUGAAGUGUUUUCAAUUAAUAUUAAGCUUAUGAAGGUUGGGGAUUGUGAUAUGGUCCUAGGGAUGGAAUGGAUAGACCUUUUUGCUCCAGUAAUACCAAGACACACAGCUAAUCCUUUCAAAAGGAAGGUAAGAUUGUAACCUUAUGGGGCAUAAAUAAGAAGCUUGAACGGCCAUUACUUGAUAGUGGAGCACUCAAAAGAAUGUUGUAGUGUAAAACUUGUAAGGUGUUGACUGAAAUAUGUAUGAAGAACUCUAGGAAUGCAACAACUGGAAAAGAGGUGAUAAAUCCUAUUGUGGAAAGGCUAUUGUCAACUUACAUAGAAGUGUUUCAAGAACCAACUAAAUUUUCACCUAAAAGGAGUUGUGAUCAUGCAAUAAACAUGGUUCCUGAUGCAUAGCCGUUCAAUUUGAGACCUUACAGGUACUCUCAUGAUCAACAGAAUGUAAAAGAUUCAAUAAUAAAUGAUAUGCUUGAGGCAUAAAUAGUGAUUUUAUUCAUUCAUCCUUUUCUCCCCCUACCUUACUUGGUAAAAAGAAAGUCACUUGAGGAGGCUUUGUGUCGAUUAUAGAUGGUUGAAUGCCUUGACCAUUAAAAAUAAGUCUCUUAUCCCUAUGAUUGAUGAUUUGUAGGAUGAAUUACAUGGGGUUAUUGUGUUCUCUAAGGUGGAUCUCAGGUCUGGAUACUAGGUGAGAAUCAAUACCGAAUAUGAGCAUAAAAUUGCCUUUUUAACCCACCAUGGGAUGUGGUAGUUUAGAGUCAUGCCAUUUGGACUAACAAAUGCCUCUUCUACUUUCUAGUUCUUAGUGAAUGAACUCUUUAAAGAGAAAUUGAGAAUGUUUAUAUUGAUGUAUUUUGAUGAUAUUUUGGUGUAUAGCAAGACUAUGAAAGAUCACCUACUACACCCUGAAGUAGUAUUGCAGCUAAAGAAAAGGAAUAAGCUAUUUGCUAAAGAAGUAAGUGUGACUUUUCUCAACCACAAGUUGAGUUUCUUGGGCACAUUAUUUCAGGAAAGGGUGUAAGCAUUGAGUACAAGAGAUUAAUUUCAUUGUUAGAGUGCCACAAUCUGCUACUGUGAAGGAGUUGAGAGGUUUUCUAGGUCUGACUAGAUAUUACAGGAAGUUUGUUACAAAGUAUGCAUAACUCAAUUGGCCCUUAACUAAUUUAUUGAGUAAGGGAAGCUUCAAUUAGAGCCUUGAAGCAACCGAAAAAGGCUAUGACCAAAGCUCCAGUAUUGAACCUACAUUACUUUAGCGAUCCUUCCAUUCUUGAAGUAGAACCAUGCAACACUGGGGUGGGAGUUGUAUUGAUACAAGAAAAGAGUCCAUUAGCGUUCAUGAUCAGUCCUUAAGCAAAAGGUAUCAAAGAUUAUCAACUUAUGAUAAAAAGUCGAUUGCUCUUUUGAUAGCAGUGGAAAGGUGCAGGCACUACUUGCACCCACACCGCUUCAUAAUUAAAACUGAUCAUUUUAGUUUGAAAUUUUUGCAAGAACAAAAUAUUACCACUUCCUUGCAACACAAAGGCUUAACCAAGCUGAUGGAAUUGAGCUAUGAAAUUCAAUAUAAAAAAGGAGUAAAAAAUAUUGUAGCUGAUGCCUUAUCAAGGAGAAGUGAAAUAGCAACCAGCCACAGUGCCUUGUAGUAAGUCAAUUGUAGCCCAAAUGGUUUGAAGAAGUGGCGGCUAGUUAUGAAGGAGAUCAAGAAGUGAUGCAACCUAUUUCUAAUCACACCACUAAUCCAACUAUUAUUAUGGAUAUCACUCUAUAGUAGGGUUUACUAAGGCACAAAAGAAAGUUUGGAUUAGCAAUCAUGGGAACCUAAGACAUCAAUCACAAUUAUACAUAACUCUUAAUUGGGAGGACAUUGAGGUGUGAUGGCUACAUACCAAAGAGUGAAGACAAUGUUCUAUUGGCCUUCAAUGAUCAAGAAUGUGAAGCUAAUUGUGCAGGAGUGUGAGGAAUGUCAGAGAUGUAAAAAUGAGUAUGUGGACUAUCUUGGACUUCUACAACCACUACUUGUGCCUGAGAAGGCUUGGGAACAUAUCUCAAUGGAUUCAUUGAGAACUUACCAAAAUCUAAAGGUUAGGACACUAUUCUAGUAAUAGUGGACAGGUAUAGCAAAUAUGUCUAUUUUCUUUCCUUAGCUCACCCCUUCACAACAUCUCAAGUGGAAAAGUUAUUCAUGGAUACAAUCUAUAAAUUACAUGGACUACCUAAGAGCAUAGUUUCAAAAAAAAGACAAACUAUUUAUCACCAAUUUUUGGAAAGAACUUUUCAAGUAUUUGCAAGUGCGUCUACUUUAUAACUUUGCUUAUCAUCCAUAAAUGGAUGGACAAACAAAAAUGUUGAAUAAGUGUCUAAAAACUACUUAAGGUGCAUGACAAUACAUAAGCCUAGGGAAUGGAAUAAAUAAUUGCAUUUAGCUGAGUUUUGGUACAACAAUACUUACCAUAUUUCAUUGAAGAUGACUAGUUUCAAGGUAAUAUAUGGUUAUGAUCCUCUACAAUUAUCCUUUGAGUUGGUUGCACAGACUAGAGUAGCUGCUACUGAUGAGAUACUUAAGAAAAGACAGGUGAUGGCCAAAGUGGUGAAAACCCGAAAAAGGCUCAGAACAUAAUGAAAAUUUAUGCUGGCGAGAAGAGGACUGAGAGAAAGUUUGAAGUAUGUGACUGAUUUAUUUUUAAGCUACAAUCAUACAGACAAAUAUUUGUGGCAGUAAAAAGGAGUUUGAAGUUGGCUUCUAAGGUUUAUGGCCCUUAGUAGAUUAUUCAAAAAGUUGGACCUGUUGCAUAGAAGUUGAAGUUGCCCCCUUCGGCUAAGAUACAUCUUGUAUUUCACAUUUCUCAACCCAAGAAGAAGGUGAGACCUCAGACUAUAUCUUUAAUUGAUUCACCUAUCAGUUCUCUAGAGGGACAACCUUUGGUAGAACAUGUUGUUGUACUGGAUAGGAUAAUGGAGAAAAAAGGGAAGUAAAGCCAUAACUCAAGUUUUUCAGUGUGCCAACUUACUACCUGGAGAAGCUACUUGGGAAGACUACAAUUUCAUCAGGUCCCAGUUCCCAGAUUUUGAUGAAACUUAAGGACCAGGCUCUGAAGGAGGAUGGAUUGUUACGACUUUCUGAAGUUUUUAAUUUUACAAUUGGUCUAUGUUUAAAUUCAAGUUGUAGUAUUAAAUUAUGCCAAUGGAGAUCCCUAGAUUAGUAUUG
RNAcentral lists this long non-coding RNA (34263 nucleotides) under Nicotiana tabacum (common tobacco). RNAcentral's name for it is "long non-coding RNA (NTAB_LNC001208)". The record is from RNAcentral. Lineage: Eukaryota; Viridiplantae; Streptophyta; Magnoliopsida; Solanales; Solanaceae.